UCCUUAUAUUUAUGAACUGGUAUAUUGGCCCUUGUUAAAAUACUCUAGAUCUCGGUGCAUUUAUUUUGAAUUUCUCUUUAUGGAUAGCAAUUUAUAAGUUGCAAUUUGAAGUUUAGAACUUGGAUAAUUUUGUUGCAGAUUAAGUUUCUUAAUACUUUGUUGGCUUGAAUAAAACCUUCCGCUUUAGAUGACAAGGAUUGAAGACUGAGAAAACUUAUAUCUAGAUUGGUGUGGGGUUAUCUAAGUGAAUUUCUAGUAUUGGAAACACAAUUUUUCUAUUUAGUAAUUUGAUUUGCUUUUGUUCGUCUACAUGGCUACAUUUGCUUUCUUUAAUAUGUUUCAAGAUAAUAUUUCAACUGAAAUGGAGGCAUGACUUAUAGCUAUUUUCCACCAGGUUUAUCCAAAAAGAAGUUUAGAGUUAGUAGCUCAGACCCUUUGAUUUUUGUUGUGUUUUUCUUUUUCUACUUGUUUUAUUUUUUGCUUUUUUGGUUCUUCUGUAGGUGGAUUUCGCAGGCAAUAGUUUAUCUCCAAUGCAAUGGUUUUGUUAUGAAAUUUUGAAGGACUUUUAACAUCACAUGUGGCAUUUGACCCAACAACUUAAGCGGGUAAAUGAGUGAUGUUGAUGCAACAAAACUGGCCAGCAUUGCGUUUCCAUGCCCUAAUUUGCAGUCUUUGGAGAUCUUGACAUCUGAUUCCUGCAUCAACCGAAUAUAUGGGUAUUGAUUCUAAGUCUUUGAAAUGGUUCUACUUAUUGUUUUUUGGAGGUGCGAUUAGCUGAAGCUCAGAAUGUAAUAAAAUCUGCUGAGCUAGAAAGCAAAAAAGAAGAAAAUGCUGCAAUGAAUGCCCUUACUGAGCAAGAAUUGAUUAUGGAGAGAGUGUUGCAACUUGCAAGAGUCAAAGAUCCUAAACCAACAGGCAGAAAAUAAUGCCAAGUUCUAGACAAAUAACAGCUCCAGCCUGCACCUAAGAAGAAGAGAAAUCUUCUAGGAACUCCAGAUUCAACGGCAGAAGUGGUGGCGCUGUCUGCGACGACGCUAAUGGCGAUGAACCGGUUCGUGUGCGAAAUCUGCAACAAAGGGUUUCAAAGAAACCAGAAUCUGCAGCUGCACAGAAGAGGGCACAAUCUGCCACAGAAGCUGAGGCAGAGAACGACGACGGAGGUGAAGAAAUGGAUCUACAUCUGCCCUGCGUCCACCACAAUCUGGGUUGGGCCCUUGGUGAUCUCACCGGGAUCAAGAAGCACUACAGCAGGAAACAUGGCGAGAAGAAAAUGGAAAUGUGACAUGGGAAUGUUUGGAUCGAUGCCUCACCCUAUACGGUAUCUAGAAUGGGUGAAGACAUGGAAAUGUUUGGAUCGAUAUUCUCCUACAAUUUGCCAUCUAUUGUUUCAAUCAAACAUCUCGUAGUGAAAUAUUGACAUAAGCUGGUUA
Salvia miltiorrhiza (redroot sage) is the source of this 1430-nucleotide long non-coding RNA. RefSeq lists it as uncharacterized. The record is from RefSeq and is a predicted model, not a curated record. The transcript is spliced from 4 exons. Lineage: Eukaryota; Viridiplantae; Streptophyta; Magnoliopsida; Lamiales; Lamiaceae.